ACUAUCGAGGUGGUCCCACCUGACCCCAUGCCGAACUCAGAAGUGAAACGCCGUAGCGCCGAUGGUAGUGUGGGGUCUCCCCAUGCGAGAGUAGGGAACUGCCAGGC
This 107-nucleotide ribosomal RNA is filed under the name Salmonella enterica subsp. enterica serovar Enteritidis. Lineage: Bacteria; Pseudomonadati; Pseudomonadota; Gammaproteobacteria; Enterobacterales; Enterobacteriaceae. The record is from RNAcentral.